AACGGGAAUUACUUUAUUGAAACUUCGGUCGAUUUAAUUUAAUUCUAGUGGCGGACGGGUGAGUAACGCGUGGGUAACCUGCCUUAUACAGGGGGAUAACAGUCAGAAAUGGCUGCUAAUACCGCAUAAGCGCACAGAGCUGCAUGGCUCAGUGUGAAAAACUCCGGUGGUAUAAGAUGGACCCGCGUUGGAUUAGCUAGUUGGUGGGGUAACGGCCCACCAAGGCGACGAUCCAUAGCCGGCCUGAGAGGGUGAACGGCCACAUUGGGACUGAGACACGGCCCAGACUCCUACGGGAGGCAGCAGUGGGGAAUAUUGCACAAUGGGGGAAACCCUGAUGCAGCGACGCCGCGUGAAGGAAGAAGUAUCUCGGUAUGUAAACUUCUAUCAGCAGGGAAGAUAGUGACGGUACCUGACUAAGAAGCCCCGGCUAACUACGUGCCAGCGGCCGCGGUAAUACGUAGGGGGCAAGCGUUAUCCGGAUUUACUGGGUGUAAAGGGAGCGUAGACGGUGUGGCAAGUCUGAUGUGAAAGGCAUGGGCUCAACCUGUGGACUGCAUUGGAAACUGUCAUACUUGAGUGCCGGAGGGGUAAGCGGAAUUCCUAGUGUAGCGGUGAAAUGCGUAGAUAUUAGGAGGAACACCAGUGGCGAAGGCGGCUUACUGGACGGUAACU
This 675-nucleotide ribosomal RNA is filed under the name uncultured Lachnospiraceae bacterium. RNAcentral's name for it is "bacterial SSU rRNA". It matches the Rfam family "Bacterial small subunit ribosomal RNA", at positions 65 to 741 of the family's 1533-position model. The record is from RNAcentral. Lineage: Bacteria; Bacillati; Bacillota; Clostridia; Lachnospirales; Lachnospiraceae.